Rhopalosiphum padi (bird cherry-oat aphid) is the source of this 448-nucleotide long non-coding RNA. RefSeq lists it as uncharacterized. The transcript has 3 exons. Lineage: Eukaryota; Metazoa; Arthropoda; Insecta; Hemiptera; Aphididae. The record is from RefSeq and is a predicted model, not a curated record.
GUCAUAUUAUCCUCUAAACAUUGAAGUUUCUUAGUUUUUAAAUUUUGACGUCGUUACUAAAUACACAGCAACUGACUAAAGUCUGAAGUGCUAUUAAGCUUAACAAAUUAAAAUGUAUAUUCAAAUCUUUGAAUUAUAGUAUUGCGCAUUUCAAUUUUCAAGCGCUGCAGAGUAAGACAUUUUGGAUGGAAAAAAUAUGCACGUGCGACGAUACAAAUAUACAAUGUAUAUUCUAUUGCGUCACAACAACUUUGACUUUGGCUUUCACACAUUUUUUAGAACACCGGAUCGCGCCAGUCGGUGAAUUUCAGUGAAAUUCUAAAUCUGAGGUAAAUCUUGAUGAUGCGACCACGGUACAUGCUAAUGUGACCAUGGUAAAAUUCGGUAAACAAACUUCUAUACCUCUGCGGCUCUGUAGUUUGAUUCAAUAAAAUGUGUCAUCCGUUUA